AUGAUCCGUGAAAUAUGCAUCUCAAAGGCUAGGGAGGAAAACCUUGUUUUGACGCUGGAGGAAGGAUGUUGUUUGAGUGACACACAAGGUGCAAUACGUCAUCUUGUCAUUGGCAGCAACUGGAAAAGGGAUAAAGAUGUACUGGAGAGCAUGCUAGACUUGUCACAUGUACGGUCAUUGACCGUGUUUGGGGAGUGGAGAUCUUUCUUCAUCUCCGAAAAUAUGAGGUUUGUGCGAGUGCUUGACUUAGAGGACACACUGGGGUUAAGAGAUCAUCAUCUUGAAAAAAUCGGGCAGCUACGUCACCUCAAGUACCUUUCUCUACGAGGAUGUCACAACAUUUUAUGCCUGCCUAAUUGUUUGGGGAAUUUGAGGCACCUCCAAACACUGGAUGUUAGAGGUACCCGUAUAUUUGAGUUGCCAACAACAAUCACCAAUCUCCGGGAGCUGCAGUACCUUCAUGCAGAUAGUGGUCAGAAUGCAGGAGGCAAUGUCAAGGGAGAUGACAUAGUUCAAAUGUAUGAUGCUGAUGGUUUUUCCGAAGGUGGGACAUGUGCCAAUUGUGUGUUCAGCUCUCAUGUUUUCUUGAGACCACAAGUUUUAGAUGCUGGUUUGAACAGGUAUGAUAUAUUCAAUCUAUACCGCUUCCAGGAGAGGCAGCUAGAUGGUGUUGUGCUUCCUAGAGGGAUUGGUAAAUUGAAGGUCCUUCACACAUUAGGUUUUGUCAAUGUUUCUCGUAGCAAUGGAAAGACCACUCUAAAAGAGAUAGGGGAGCUUACUCAGGUGCGUAAGCUUAGAGUUGCUGGUAUUAGUAGCGAAAACACUAAGGAGUUAUGGUCUGCCAUUGCUGGUCACAAUCAACUUGGAUCUCUAUCAGUGGCAAGUGAAAUAUUUGAUGGUUCUUUGGAUGGUUGUUUGGGUGAAGGUUUGUUGCCACCAAGCAGCCUGGAGAGCCUCACUCUGGAAGGUAGGCUAACCAAUGUACCAAAAUGGAUCCAUAUGCUUCAGAAUCUCUCCAAGCUGGUGCUACGGGAGAGCUACUUGAGGCAAGAUUCCAUACAAGCCCUUGGGUUCCUACCAAAUCUUGCAGUCCUACGCCUCUGGGAUGCGUUCACGGGGACACAUCUCCAAUUCCGGAGCUCAUCUUUCCCGAGUCUCAUGGAGCUACAUCUCUCACGAUUAUACAUCCUCGAGUCGGUGUCGUUUGAAGAAGACGCAUUGCCUAAGCUCGAGCUGCUACAAGUUGAUUUGUGUGUUGAGCUGAAUGGAUUCUCCGGGCUGCCAGCGGUCCUCACAAGCCUCAAGGAAAUUCGGUUGUCUAAUAGCGAACUCAAGAAAGACGUGGAGAGGCAGGUGGAGCAUAUGAAGCACGUGAGAGUGAAUUUUGUUGACUAA
RNAcentral lists this ribosomal RNA (1395 nucleotides) under Triticum aestivum (bread wheat). RNAcentral's name for it is "partial small subunit ribosomal RNA". Lineage: Eukaryota; Viridiplantae; Streptophyta; Magnoliopsida; Poales; Poaceae. The record is from RNAcentral.